This 72-nucleotide transfer RNA is filed under the name Trichonephila inaurata madagascariensis. It matches the Rfam family "tRNA". From Rfam's summary of the family: Transfer RNA (tRNA) molecules are approximately 80 nucleotides in length. Their secondary structure includes four short double-helical elements and three loops (D, anti-codon, and T loops). The record is from Rfam by way of RNAcentral. Lineage: Eukaryota; Metazoa; Arthropoda; Arachnida; Araneae; Nephilidae.
GGGGGUAUAGCUCUGUGGUAGAGCAUUCGAUUGCAGAUCGAAAGGUCUCCGGUUCAAACCCAGGUGUCCCCU